CUGCAGCCAAUUAAGCUAAGGAUGCUCUCCCCUGGGGGCCUAGUGUGCAGCGGUUGCAAACAGUAGUGUAUGCAGCCCAUUGUUUGUAUUGGUUGCCCUAAGGGUCCUUGGAGACAGCC
Small nucleolar RNA from Ailuropoda melanoleuca (giant panda), 119 nucleotides. Its record names the gene SNORA70. It matches the Rfam family "Small nucleolar RNA SNORA70". From Rfam's summary of the family: snoRNA U70 seems to be exclusive to mammals and is a member of the H/ACA class of snoRNA which contain H (ANANNA) and ACA box motifs. H/ACA box snoRNAs are involved in the conversion of uridines to pseudouridines (5-ribosyluracil) a constituent of structural RNAs (transfer, ribosomal, small nuclear, and small nucleolar). Lineage: Eukaryota; Metazoa; Chordata; Mammalia; Carnivora; Ursidae. The record is from Ensembl.